Small nucleolar RNA from Magnolia sinica, 107 nucleotides. Lineage: Eukaryota; Viridiplantae; Streptophyta; Magnoliopsida; Magnoliales; Magnoliaceae. The record is from RefSeq and is a predicted model, not a curated record.
UAGCUAUAUUGUGGGCAAGAAUUUAAAAGAUCCUUGAAUCUUUUCCAGUAUUGAAAGAAGGUUUCUUCCUCUUUCUAUAAAAAAUUCAUAAUCGCUCCUCUCAGGGU